CAGCAGCCGCGGUAAUACGUAGGUGGCGAGCGUUGUCCGGAUUUAUUGGGCGUAAAGCGAGCGCAGGCGGGCAUAUAAGUCCAUCUUAAGAGUGCGGGGCUCAACCCCGUGAGGGGAUGGAAACUGUAUGCCUUGAGUGCAGGAGAGGAAAGCGGAAUUCCCAGUGCAGCGGUGAAAUGCGUUGAGAUCGGAAAGAAAACCAACGGCGAAAGCACUCUGCUGGGCCGACACUGACACUGAGAGACGAAAGCUAGGGGAGCAAAUGGGAUUAGAUACCCCAGUAGUCCCUGUCUCUUAUACA
Molecule: ribosomal RNA, 301 nt
Filed under: uncultured bacterium
Lineage: Bacteria
Description: partial 16S ribosomal RNA
Rfam family: Bacterial small subunit ribosomal RNA
Source: RNAcentral